GACGAAGGGGGCUAGCGUUGUUCGGAAUUACUGGGCGUAGAGCGAGUGUAGGUGGUUGUCCAAGUUGGAUGUGAAAGCCUUGAGCUCAACUCAAGAAAUGCAUUCAGGACUGGAUGGCUAGAGGACCGGAGAGGAUAGUGGAAUUCCCAGUGUAGUGGUGAAAUACGUAGAGAUUGGGAAGAACACCAGUGGCGAAGGCGGCUAUCUGGACGGUUUCUGACACUAAGACUCGAAAGCGUGGGGAGCAAACAGG
This 253-nucleotide ribosomal RNA is filed under the name uncultured bacterium. RNAcentral's name for it is "partial 16S ribosomal RNA". It matches the Rfam family "Bacterial small subunit ribosomal RNA", at positions 524 to 776 of the family's 1533-position model. The record is from RNAcentral.